CGGUUUGGAAAACAGACCUUAUGAAAGCAGUUUUAGUAAAGCAGUCCUCAGUUCAAGUGUUAUCCCAGAUACUCUUCUUCGUGAGCCUCCUCCUAAGCGCCUAAUAAGUAAUUCUCUGCAUGACAGGCCAUCUUCGCCGCACUGUGUGGCUCAUUAAUUAAGGAAGUAUCUAUGUCUACCAAAAUGACUGGUUUAGUAAAAUGGUUUAAUUCAGAUAAAGGUUUUGGCUUUAUUACGCCGAAUGACGGCAGCAAAGAUGUAUUCGUACACUUUUCUGCUAUUCAGAGCGAUAGCUACAAAACCCUGGAUGAAGGCCAACAGGUCUCCUUCACCAUCGAAAACGGCGCAAAAGGCCCGGCAGCGGCAAACGUCACUGCACUGUAAUACGCGCUGAUUAUCGCA
This 402-nucleotide small RNA is filed under the name Franconibacter helveticus. Its description in RNAcentral is "cspA thermoregulator". It matches the Rfam family "cspA thermoregulator". Lineage: Bacteria; Pseudomonadati; Pseudomonadota; Gammaproteobacteria; Enterobacterales; Enterobacteriaceae. The record is from RNAcentral.